GACGGAGGGCGCUAGGGUUGUUGGGAAUUGCUGGGCGUAAAGGGCGCGUGGGCGGCUCUGUAAGUCGGGUGUGAAAGCCCGGGGCUCAACCCCGGAACGGCAUCCGAGACUGCGGAGCUCGAGACCGGAAGAGGUGAGUGGAAUACCCAGUGUAGAGGUGAAAUUCGUAGAUAUUGGGUGGAACACCGGUGGCGAAAGCGGCUCACUGGUCCGGUUCUGACGCUGAGGCGCGAAAGCGUGGGUAGCAAACAGG
This 253-nucleotide ribosomal RNA is filed under the name uncultured bacterium. RNAcentral's name for it is "partial 16S ribosomal RNA". It matches the Rfam family "Bacterial small subunit ribosomal RNA", at positions 524 to 776 of the family's 1533-position model. The record is from RNAcentral.